This 92-nucleotide ribosomal RNA is filed under the name Candidatus Margulisiibacteriota bacterium. RNAcentral's name for it is "partial 16S ribosomal RNA". It matches the Rfam family "Bacterial small subunit ribosomal RNA", at positions 1 to 113 of the family's 1533-position model. Lineage: Bacteria; Bacillati; Candidatus Margulisiibacteriota. The record is from RNAcentral.
UUUUUUGAGAGUUUGAUCUUGGCUCAGGAUGAACGCUGGCGGCGUGCCUAACACAUGCAAGUCGAACGAUAUAGUGGCGAACGGGUGAGUAA